This 1946-nucleotide ribosomal RNA is filed under the name feces metagenome. Its description in RNAcentral is "bacterial LSU rRNA". It matches the Rfam family "Bacterial large subunit ribosomal RNA", at positions 1 to 1996 of the family's 2925-position model. The record is from RNAcentral.
AGAAGGUUACAAGAGCGAACGGGGGAUGCCUAGGCUUCUAGAGGCGAUGAAGGACGUGGUAAGCUGCGAUAAGCUCCGGGGAUCUGCAAACAUGACUUGAUCCGGAGAUUUCCGAAUGGGGCAACCUGGCAGGUUGAAGGCCUGUCACUGACACAGUCAGAGCAAACGUGGGGAACUGAACCAUCUCAGUACCCACAGGAAGAGAAAGAAAGUAUCGAUUUCCUGAGUAGUGGCGAUCGAAAGGGAAAGAGCCUAAACCGGUGAUGUUACGGCAUCGCCGGGGUUGUAGGACUGGUUAUCGGAUCAUGUGCCUGGAACUGGAACGUUCUGGAAAGUGCGAUCACAGAGGGUGACAAUCCCGUACAGGCAACACGCGCAUGACAAGACCAGCACCUGAGUAGGGCGGGACACGUGAAAUCCUGUCUGAAUCCGCGGGGACCAUCCCGCAAGGCUAAAUACUCCUAGAAGACCGAUAGUGGACCAGUACCGUGAGGGAAAGGUGGGAAGCACCCUGAACAAGGGAGUGAAAUAGAACCUGAAACCGUUCGUUUACAAGCGGUCGGAGCGCAAGCGACGGCGUGCCUUUUGCAUAAUGAGCCUACGAGUUGCUUCUGUCUGGCAAGGUUAAGUACUUCAGGUACGUGAGCCGAAGCGAGAGCGAGUCUGAACAGGGCGUUCAGUCAGACGGAGCAGACGCGAAACCUAGUGAUCUACCCAUGGCCAGGGUGAAGGUGCCGUAACAGGCACUGGAGGCCCGCACCGGUUUACGUUGAAAAGUGCUCGGAUGAGCUGUGGGUAGGGGUGAAAGGCUAAUCAAACUGGGAGAUAGCUCGUACUCCCCGAAAUGUCUUUAGGGACAGCCUCGACUUAGCUUCACGGAGGUAGAGCUACUGAUAGGAUGCGAGGGCUUCAUCGCCUAUCAAUUCCUGACAAACUCCGAAUGCCGUGAAGUGAUGGUCGGGAGUGAGUCGCCGGGUGCUAAUGUCCGGUGGCGAAAGGGAAACAGCCCAGAUCUUCGGCUAAGGCCCCCAAGAGCAGUUUAAGUUGACAGAACGAGGUGACAUCGCAGAGACAGCUAGGAUGUUAGCUUGGAAGCAGCUAUUCAUUUAAAGAGUGCGUAACAGCUCACUAGUCGAGCGAUGACGCGUGGAUGAUAAUCGGGCAUCAAGACUGCCGCCGAAGCCAAGGACUCUAUGUAAAUAGAGUGGUAGGGGAGCAUUCCGGUCGGCGCUGAAGGUGUAUCGUGAGAUAUGCUGGAGCGUCCGGAAAAGAAAAUGUAGGCAUGAGUAACGACAAAUGGUGUGGAAACGCCAUCACCGAAAACCCAAGGUUUCCUGAACAACGCUAAACGUAUCAGGGUAAGCCGGGACCUAACGGGAACCCGAAAGGGGAACUGGAUGGACAUGCGGUAAAGAUUCCGCAGCCUGCUGUGCAGGCGAGAUCGUGACCGAGAAGUGACACUGCCGCCGUCUGACGGAAUAGACGGUUGAAGGGCGUAGGGGUGACCUGAAACCCGACAGUACCGAGCGGCUUCGGCCAAUCGGAUAGCGCAGGUAAUCAGACUUGCAAGAAAAGCGAUCGAGCGUUAAGCGUACAGCAGCCCGUACCGUAAACCGACACAGGUGGGUGAGGAGAGAAUCCUCAGGUGCUCGAGUGAAUCACAGCUAAGGAAUUAGGCAAAUUGACCCCGUAACUUCGGGAUAAGGGGACCCGACCUCCGGGUCGGGCGCAGAGAAAUGGCCCAGGCGACUGUUUACCAAAAACAUAUGGCUAUGCGAAAUCGCAAGAUGAAGAAUAUGGCCUGACACCUGCCCGGUGCUGGAAGGUUAAGAGGGGGAGUCAUCGCAAGAGAAGCUCUGAAUUGAAGCCCCAGUAAACGGCGGCCGUAACUAUAACGGUCCUAAGGUAGCGAAAUUCCUUGUCGGGUAAGUUCCGACCUGCACGAA